CCGUCCUUGACGAUACCGGCGAUGUCGUUCAUUUGAUGCGUGAAUAGCACUCCCGGCGAGUUCAACGCUUGCUGGACGCU
This 80-nucleotide transfer RNA is filed under the name Mycobacterium attenuatum. RNAcentral's name for it is "Mycobacterium sp. MK41 tRNA-Ile". The record is from RNAcentral. Lineage: Bacteria; Bacillati; Actinomycetota; Actinomycetes; Mycobacteriales; Mycobacteriaceae.